RNAcentral lists this ribosomal RNA (274 nucleotides) under uncultured bacterium. RNAcentral describes it as "partial 16S ribosomal RNA". It matches the Rfam family "Bacterial small subunit ribosomal RNA", at positions 523 to 796 of the family's 1533-position model. The record is from RNAcentral.
CUACGGAGGGGGCUAGCGUUGUUCGGAAUUACUGGGCGUAAUGCGCGCGUAGGCGGAUUGAUCAGUCAGGGGUGAAAUCCCGAGGCUUAACCUCGGAACUGCCUUUGAUACUGUCAAUCUUGAGUUCGAGAGAGGUGAGUGGAAUUCCUAGUGUAGAGGUGAAAUUCGUAGAUAUUAGGAAGAACACCAGUGGCGAAGGCGGCUCACUGGCUCGAUACUGACGCUGAGGUGCGAAAGCGUGGGGAGCAAACAGGAUUAGAUACCCUAGUAGUCC